Molecule: non-coding RNA, 26 nt
Filed under: Homo sapiens (human)
Lineage: Eukaryota; Metazoa; Chordata; Mammalia; Primates; Hominidae
Source: RNAcentral
UGGUGUCUGUGGGUUGACCCGCCACA